UUCCCGGUGUAGCGGUGAAAUGCGUAGAUAUCGGGAAGAACACCAGUGGCGAAGGCGNUCUGCUGGGCCAUCACUGACGNUCAUGGACGAAAGCCAGGGGAGCGAAAGGGAUUAGAUACCCCUGUAGUCCUGGCCGUAAACGAUGAACACUAGGUGUCGGGGGAAUCGACCCCCUCGGUGUCGUAGCCAACGCGUUAAGUGUUCCGCCUGGGGAGUACGCACGCAAGUGUGAAACUCAAAGGAAUUGACGGGGGCCCGCACAAGCGGUGGAGUAUGUGGUUUAAUUCGAUGCAACGCGAAGAACCUUACCAGGGUUUGACAUCCUGCGAAUCUCUUGGAAACGAGAGAGUGCCUUCGGGAACGCAGUGACAGGUGGUGCAUGGCUGUCGUCAGCUCGUGUCGUGAGAUGUUGGGUUAAGUCCCGCAACGAGCGCAACCCACGUCUUUAGUUGCCAGCAUUUAGUUGGGCACUCUAGAGAGACCGCCGGUGAUAAACCGGAGGAAGGUGUGGAUGACGUCAAGUCAUCAUGCCCCUUACAUCCUGGGCUACACACGUACUACAAUGCUACGGACAAAGGGCAGCAAGUUCGCGAGGACAAGCAAAUCCCAUAAACCGUGGCUCAGUUCAGAUCGUAGGCUGCAACUCGCCUACGUGAAGGAGGAAUCGCUAGUAAUCGCAGGUCAGCAUACUGCGGUGAAUACGUUCCCGGGCCUUGUACACACCGCCCGUCACACCAUGGAAGUUGGCCACGCCCGAAGCCGUUACUCCAACCCUUGUGGAGGAGGACGUCGAAGGUGGGGCUGAUGACUGGGGUGAAGUCGUAACAAGGUAGCC
RNAcentral lists this ribosomal RNA (835 nucleotides) under uncultured marine microorganism. RNAcentral describes it as "bacterial SSU rRNA". It matches the Rfam family "Bacterial small subunit ribosomal RNA", at positions 667 to 1501 of the family's 1533-position model. The record is from RNAcentral.